RNAcentral lists this ribosomal RNA (1664 nucleotides) under metagenome. RNAcentral describes it as "bacterial LSU rRNA". It matches the Rfam family "Bacterial large subunit ribosomal RNA", at positions 1224 to 2925 of the family's 2925-position model. The record is from RNAcentral.
UUUGGUAGAGGAGCAUUCUUAAAGGAACGAAGCAGUACCGAAAGGAGCUGUGGACUUUUAAGAAGAGAGAAUGCCGGAAUGAGUAGCGAGAGUAAGGUGAGAAUCCUUACGGCCGAAUAUCCAAGGUUUCCAGGGUAAAGCUGAUCUGCCCUGGGGAAGUCGGGACCUAAGGCGAGGCCGAGAGGCGUAGCCGAUGGACAACAGGUUGAGAUUCCUGUACUACAGUAUGACAGAACUGUGGGGACGCAGAAGGAGAGCACUACCUGGAAUGGAAUCCAGGGGCAAGCACAGGAGGGGUACGGCUGGAAAAACCGCCGUGCAACCCAAAGGUGUGACGCAUACCGAACUAAAGUAGGGAAAUGUGUGAGCCGGCUGCCGAGAAAAGCCGCUAUUGUUUGUACUGUACCCGUACCGUAAACCGACACAGGUGGAUGAGGAGAGAAUCCUAAGGCCGACGGAAGAAGCAUUGCUAAGGAACUCGGCAAAAUGACCCUGUAACUUCGGGAGAAAGGGUGCCUCGAAAGAGGCCGCAGAGAAUAGGCCCAGGCAACUGUUUAGCAAAAACACAGGUCUAUGCAAAACCGCAAGGUGAAGUAUAUGGGCUGACGCCUGCCCGGUGCUGGAAGGUUAAGGGGAGAUGUCAGGAGACGAAGCAUCGAACUUAAGCCCCAGUAAACGGCGGCCGUAACUAUAACGGUCCUAAGGUAGCGAAAUUCCUUGUCGGGUAAGUUCCGACCCGCACGAAAGGCGUAAUGAUUUGGGCGCUGUCUCGGCAAUGCAUCCGGUGAAAUUGAAGUGCCAGUGAAGAUGCUGGCUACCCGCGCCAGGACGGAAAGACCCCAUGGAGCUUUACUCCAGCUUGAUACUGGGAUUCGGUAUUGUAUGUACAGGAUAGGUGGGAGGCUGAGAAAUGGUGACGCCAGUCGCCAUGGAGCCGCUGUUGGGAUACCACCCUUGCAGUACUGGAUUUCUAACCAGCAGCCGUGAUCCGGCUGGGGGACAAUGUCAGGUGGGGAGUUUGACUGGGGCGGUCGCCUCCGAAAGGGUAUCGGAGGCGCUCAAAGGUUCCCUCAGAAUGGUCGGAAACCAUUCGAAGAGUGCAAAGGCAGAAGGGAGCUUGACUGCGACACCGACGGGUGGGGCAGGUACGAAAGUAGGACUUAGUGAUCCGGUGGUAUUAAGUGGGAAUGCCAUCGCUCAACGGAUAAAAGCUACCCUGGGAUAACAGGCUUAUCACUCCCAAGAGUUCACAUCGACGGAGUGGUUUGGCACCUCGAUGUCGGCUCAUCGCAUCCUGGGGCUGUAGUAGGUCCCAAGGGUUGGGCUGUUCGCCCAUUAAAGCGGUACGCGAGCUGGGUUCAGAACGUCGUGAGACAGUUCGGUCCCUAUCCGGCGUGGGCGUAGGAUAUUUGAGAGGAGCUGACCUUAGUACGAGAGGACCGGGUUGGACUGACCUCUGGUGCACCGGUUGUCAUGCCAAUGGCACAGCCGGGUAGCCAAGUCGGGAAGGGAUAAACGCUGAAGGCAUCUAAGCGUGAAGCCCCCCUCAAGAUGAGAUAUCCCCCGCAUAAGCGGUAAGACCCCUUGAAGACGACGAGGUAGAUAGGGCAGAGGUGGAAGUGCAGUAAUGUAUGGAGCUGACUGCUACUAAUAGGUCGAAGGCU